AAGUCCAGGUCUACGCGUUAAGGUCGCUGUCGGUAAACAAAUCGCCUCGCGAGGCGACAGUGAGCGCGUAGAGCAUGUCACGUCCAAGCAUGUCACGUCCAGGUCUACGCGUUAAGGUCGAUGUCAGCAAACAAAUCGCCUCGCGAGGCGACCGUGAGCGCGUAGUGCGCGUGUAACUGCUGUAGUAGUUCACGCUCGUCCAGGGGCUCCAGGGCUUCGACGCGGGCACGCUCUUCUU
Long non-coding RNA from Cydia amplana, 238 nucleotides. RefSeq lists it as uncharacterized. The transcript is spliced from 3 exons. Lineage: Eukaryota; Metazoa; Arthropoda; Insecta; Lepidoptera; Tortricidae. The record is from RefSeq and is a predicted model, not a curated record.